GACGAACGCUGGCGGCGUGCCUAAUACAUGCAAGUCGAACGCACAGUUUAUACCGUAGCUUGCUACACCAUAGACUGUGAGUUGCGAACGGGUGAGUAACGCGUAGGUAACCUGCCUGGUAGCGGGGGAUAACUAUUGGAAACGAUAGCUAAUACCGCAUAAUAUUGAUUAUUGCAUGAUAAUUGAUUGAAAGAUGCUAUUGCAUCACUACCAGAUGGACCUGCGUUGUAUUAGCUAGUAGGUGAGGUAACGGCUCACCUAGGCGACGAUACAUAGCCGACCUGAGAGGGUGAUCGGCCACACUGGGACUGAGACACGGCCCAGACUCCUACGGGAGGCAGCAGUAGGGAAUCUUCGGCAAUGGACGAAAGUCUGACCGAGCAACGCCGCGUGAGUGAAGAAGGUUUUCGGAUCGUAAAGCUCUGUUGUAGGAGAAGAACGGGUGUGAGAGUGGAAAGUUCACACUGUGACGGUAGCUUACCAGAAAGGGACGGCUAACUACGUG
Molecule: ribosomal RNA, 505 nt
Filed under: uncultured bacterium
Lineage: Bacteria
Description: partial 16S ribosomal RNA
Rfam family: Bacterial small subunit ribosomal RNA
Source: RNAcentral